Non-coding RNA from Lolium perenne, 1759 nucleotides. Lineage: Eukaryota; Viridiplantae; Streptophyta; Magnoliopsida; Poales; Poaceae. The record is from RefSeq and is a predicted model, not a curated record.
AUCCAUCUCUCUGUGCUGCAAAGUUAAUAUUGCGGGCAUCUGUUGUAAGAGUUGACACUUGACAGGUUGUUCGGAGUUCUGUGCCCGGCUAAAGAAGCUACAGAAUCAGCUUUUAAGGAUGGAAAACAGCUAUUGAUAUGAUGCCAUUGGCCAGCAUGCAGUUCCAGUACCUUAUGGUUGAGGAAAAGUUAUAUAGAGAUCUAUCCAGAUAUGAUGCCACUGCAAAUGCUCAUGUGCAAAAUUUACUCUGUUUCGCAUUGCACUAUCAUCAUUGUCACUCCAUGAGGUACCAGAGUAUUAGUUGAGGAAAGUGGGGUUUGGAACUCUAGCAGAGCAACUGAAGAAAAGUGGUGUUUCAGCUUUAGUUGUAUUCUACAAGAGUUUGGGUGGGUAAAUUUGGCUUUCCUUUCUUGUCCCUGUGAAGCCCCUUCGAUGCCACGUCUUCCAUUAUCUGCCAGCGCAACCUCGGGCUCCCCUCGUUGCCUGUGUCAUUAUUCUACAUGGUGCAGAAUGCCACCGCUGCUCAGGGUCACGCGAGUCAUUCUGGGGUAUGCACAACAGUGCUGGUCAUCGAUGUGCUAUAUCACAGAUCCUCCUCUUGCAUUUGUUAAACUGGCUCACGGUGUCCAUAGCCUUAUUAAACAUGCAGAAAUUACAUAUUGGAAAUUAAUACCUCUGCCUCUUGCCAAAUGAUACAAAGUGGGUAAUUCUUCGACGAUCAUAGUAAUACCAAGUGGCUAUAUGCUUUUUAUCUGUUAAACAUGUUUUAAGAGAAGAUUCAGGUGACGGUUGGAGGACUAGGGAAAGCGGUGCUCAUGAAGGGGACAGCAACAACGAUGGCCAUGGGGAAAGGGAGAGAGGCCAGUUGGAGACAACGACGACGACGGUGGCCGAAUCGGAGCACAUCACCAUCUCCUUCCUCCUGCAUCUUCCCACGUGAGUUCCUUUUUCCAAUAUCUUCCUCCGAUUUGGUUUCUUUUCUUUUUCCCUAUAAGGUUUGGGGUGUAGCCUGUAGAUUCUAACACCGAUGUGGGAGAGAGGCCACACACCUCCGCUGCACGGCUUCGAGCCCUGGCGUUGACUGUGGAGAUCGAAGGCGAGCCUCCAUCUUCGUUUUUCCACCCGCCAAACUGAGGCGGACCUGCAAGCAUGAGCUGCUUCUGCUGAUUCGUACGUGUGAUGUAGGUUCUAGAUGCCUAAUUCGUGGUUAUGAUGUUUCAGGAUGAGGGAGGACUCUACAUAGACCUGCAUUUUUAAGGAUUUUAUUAUUCAUAAUUACUUGAUUACUUUAUGAUUAUGUUCGAAUACUUGUACAUUCCAGUCUUAGUUAGCCUAGAUUAAUUAUUUUCAUGUCUUUCUGUCGGUUUAUCAGGAUUAUUCCACAUGCCUGGAAGCUCCACCAUCGGCUGAUCUUCAAGCUCUGUGCGCUGCAGUCCCCUCAUCUGCUCGUCUACGUCUGCUCGAGUUUCUCCAAUCUUGAUUUCUGAUUUGAGCAUGAAGUGUGGAGAUGGAUCCUGGAAGAUUCAUUGGGUGUCGUCAAUAAUAUCAUCCAGCCAUGUAGUGCAUUGGAAGCUUUGAAGCUUGUCUCUGCCUGCAGCAGAAGUGUGUCAAAUUAUCUCACGUUUGCCAGAAAAACAAUUUGAUCACUUCUUGUAAGCCAUAUGGUCAAAUUUGUUUCCCAACUUUAGCCACUGAAACUAUCUUUGCUGUUGGAGACAAGAUCCAUAUCUGAUUGUGAGCGAAAUAUCGGUUCGUGCUG